AGCGUUAAUCGGAAUUACUGGGCGUAAAGCGUGCSCWKGCGGUUAUAUAAGACAGAUGUGAAAUCCCCGGGCUCAACCUGGGAACUGCAUUUGUGACUGUAUAGCUAGAGUACGGCAGAGGGGGAUGGAAUUCCGCGUGUAGCAGUGAAAUGCGUAGAUAUGCGGAGGAACACCGAUGGCGAAGGCAAUCCCCUGGGCCUGUACUGACGCUCAUGCACGAAAGCGUGGGGAGCAAACAGGAUUAGAUACCCUGGUAGUCCACGCCCUAAACGAUGUCAACUGGUUGUUGGGUCUUCACUGACUCAGUAACGAAGCUAACGCGUGAAGUUGACCGCCUGGGGAGUACGGCCGCAAGGUUG
Molecule: ribosomal RNA, 359 nt
Filed under: uncultured bacterium
Lineage: Bacteria
Description: bacterial SSU rRNA
Rfam family: Bacterial small subunit ribosomal RNA
Source: RNAcentral